ACAGGAAACAGCUUGCUGCCUUCGCUGACGAGUGGCGGACGGGUGAGAAAGACUAGGGAAACUGCCUGAUGGAGGGGGAUAACUACUGGAAACGGUAGCUAAUACCGCAUAACGUCGCAAGACCAAAGAGGGGGACCUUCGGGCCUCUUGCCAUCGGAUGUGCCCAGAUGGGAUUAGCUAGUAGGUGGGGUAACGGCUCACCUAGGCGACGAUCCCUAGCUGGUCUGAGAGGAUGACCAGCCACACUGGAACUGAGACACGGUCCAGACUCCUACGGGAGGCAGCAGUGGGGAAUAUUGCACAAUGGGCGCAAGCCUGAUGCAGCCAUGCCGCGUGUAUGAAGAAGGCCUUCGGGUUGUAAAGUACUUUCAGCGGGGAGGAAGGGAGUAAAGUUAAUACCUUUGCUCAUUGACGUUACCCGCAGAAGAAGCACCGGCUAACUCCGUGCCAGCAGCCGCGGUAAUACGGAGGGUGCAAGCGUUAAUCGGAAUUACUGGGCGUAAAGCGCACGCAGGCGGUUUGUUAAGUCAGAUGUGAAAUCCCCGGGCUCAACCUGGGAACUGCAUCUGAUACUGGCAAGCUUGAGUCUCGUAGAGGGGGGUAGAAUUCCAUG
RNAcentral lists this ribosomal RNA (613 nucleotides) under Escherichia coli. RNAcentral's name for it is "bacterial SSU rRNA". It matches the Rfam family "Bacterial small subunit ribosomal RNA", at positions 66 to 673 of the family's 1533-position model. The record is from RNAcentral. Lineage: Bacteria; Pseudomonadati; Pseudomonadota; Gammaproteobacteria; Enterobacterales; Enterobacteriaceae.